UACGGAAGGUCCGGGCGUUAUCCGGAUUUAUUGGGUUUAAAGGGAGCGUAGGCCGGAGAUUAAGCGUGUUGUGAAAUGUAGACGCUCAACGUCUGCACUGCAGCGCGAACUGGUUUCCUUGAGUACGCACAAAGUGGGCGGAAUUCGUGGUGUAGCGGUGAAAUGCUUAGAUAUCACGAAGAACUCCGAUUGCGAAGGCAGCUCACUGGAGCGCAACUGACGCUGAAGCUCGAAAGUGCGGGUAUCGAACAGGAUUAGAUACCCUGGUAGUCCGCACGGUAAACGAUGGAUGCCCGCUGUUGGUCUGAAU
RNAcentral lists this ribosomal RNA (310 nucleotides) under Segatella copri DSM 18205. RNAcentral describes it as "bacterial SSU rRNA". It matches the Rfam family "Bacterial small subunit ribosomal RNA", at positions 524 to 833 of the family's 1533-position model. Lineage: Bacteria; Pseudomonadati; Bacteroidota; Bacteroidia; Bacteroidales; Prevotellaceae. The record is from RNAcentral.